GAUGGACGCUAGCGGCAGGCUUAAUACAUGCAAGUCGAGGGGCAGCAGGAAUAGCAAUAUUUGCUGGCGACCGGCGCACGGGUGCGUAACACGUAUACAAUCUGCCUUUAACAGGGGGAUAGCCCGGAGAAAUCCGGAUUAAUACCCACUAACAGUUUCUCGGCAUCGGGAAGAUUUGAAAGCUCCGGCGGUUAAAGAUGAGUAUGUGCCUGAUUAGCUAGUUGGUGAGGUAACGGCUCACCAAGGCGACGAUCAGUAGGGGAUCUGAGAGGAUUAACCCCCACACGGAUACUGAGACACGGAUCCGACUCCUACGGGAGGCAGCAGUAAGGAAUAUUGGACAAUGCCCGCAAGGGUGAUCCAGCCAUGCCGCGUGCAGGAAGACGGCCCUAUGGGUUGUAAACUGCUUUUACACCGGAGAAAA
This 424-nucleotide ribosomal RNA is filed under the name uncultured bacterium. RNAcentral's name for it is "bacterial SSU rRNA". It matches the Rfam family "Bacterial small subunit ribosomal RNA", at positions 28 to 450 of the family's 1533-position model. The record is from RNAcentral.